UUACAGUCCAGAAAGUCGCCUUCGCCACUGGUGUUCCUCCUAAUAUCUACGCAUUUCACCGCUACACUAGGAAUUCCACUUUCCUCUCCUGCACUCAAGUCCCACAGUUUCAAAAGCUUACUACGGUUAAGCCGUAGCCUUUCACUUCUGACUUACAGGACCACCUACGCACCCUUUACGCCCAGUGAUUCCGGAUAACGCUUGCCCCUUACGUAUUACCGCGGCUGCUGGCACGUAAUUAGCCGGGGCUUAUUCCUUGGGUACCGUCAUUUAUUCUUCCCCAAGAAAAGAGUUUUACGACCCGAAGCCUUCAUCACUCACGCGGCGUUGCUGCAUCAGGCUUGCGCCCAUUGUGCAAUAUUCCCCGUUUCCC
Molecule: ribosomal RNA, 373 nt
Filed under: uncultured Bacillota bacterium
Lineage: Bacteria; Bacillati; Bacillota
Description: uncultured Firmicutes bacterium partial 16S ribosomal RNA
Source: RNAcentral